This is a long non-coding RNA of Papaver somniferum (opium poppy), 1597 nucleotides long. RefSeq lists it as uncharacterized. The record is from RefSeq and is a predicted model, not a curated record. The transcript has 2 exons. Lineage: Eukaryota; Viridiplantae; Streptophyta; Magnoliopsida; Ranunculales; Papaveraceae.
UUCUCUUUCUUUCUCGUUCUUCUUCUUUCCUCGUCUCUUUUCUUUCUUCCCCUGUUCUUUCUCUUCUGCAUGUGAUUGAGAAAUCAAAUGGAGGCGACGUGAUCAAAAUAUGGUGGAGUAGAUCAUGCAGUAGUCGCAGGUGAUGGUGUUGAAGAUGAAUUAUCGUUGGAUGAAGAAGAAAGUACGGAUUGGAGAGAAUUGAAGUUAGGGUUUGAGACUAUUUGAGAGGUGAAUUGGGUUGCCGUUGGAUGAAGAACAAUAGGGUUGUAUCUGAAUUGAAGUUAUGGGGUAUUUUUGAAAAUGAAUCAAGAGUUAGGGUUUCUCAGAGAUUUGAAUUAGGGUUUUUAGAUUUGGUUAUUGAACUGAAGAUCUAGAAGAUGAAAUGUGGAGCUACUAUUAGAUGAAGAAGAAUGGGUAGGUGUUUAAGUGAGAUUUUGAAGUUAAUUCGGUGAUGCAUCAGUGAAUCAUGGUUUGUUUUCUGUUCUUCCCCAAAUUAAGAACUAGGGUUACAUAAGAAGUUCAAAGAGGAAUUCGAUGAUGAAAUUGAUGUUAUCAAAGGAUGCUUAGGGAUGGGUUUAUCCUAAAUUAAAGCUUGAAGUUGAAGAACAACCAGAAUUUGGUAGUUGGAGAUUAGUUGAGAACUGUUGGUGAUAAUGGGAUUGAUAUGGUGAAGGAUUGCUUGAGAAGAAUCAUUUGGAGGUAAUUGUUCUUCUGAGUUCAUUUAGAUUAAGUUAUUUAAUCUUCUUGUUUGAGUUUAGGAAGUUGAUAAUUGGUUUACUGUUUGAGUUGAUUGUAAGGUUAAUUGAGGUGAUGAUGUAGUGGUGGUGUAAUUGUGGAACUCAGUAGGUGAAUGAGGUUGUUGUGGUGGUUGUGAGGAUGGAGGUUCUGAAAUGGUAUGUGGAGCUUUGGUGGUUUACCGUGAUGAAUGGAGUAGUCAGUUUGAUAGUGUUAUUACUGGUGUUGUGUAUUUGUAUCAAAGAAUUGUGUUAGAAGAUAUAAAUGGGGUUGAAUUUCUGGUGAUGAUGGUGUUGUUCUUCAUGGAGAAAUAGAAUUUGGGUCAUGAUGGUGGAGUUAAAGUGUUGUAUGUUUCCUGGGAUGGUCUUACAGUUCAUGAGAAUGGUAUUGAUGUUAUGAGAGUUGUGGUUAAGCUGAGGUUGUUUGACUAAAGAAGAAACAACAAAUAGUUUGGGGUUGUGUUAAGUUGAUAGUGGUAUUUCAUAGAAACUAGAAUGACAGUGAAAGCUGAGUAUGAGUUGCAAUUGGAGCAACAUAGGAAUUGGUUAUGAAUCAUAUACUGGUAAGAUGUGUAAGCUGAAGAAGAGUGUAAUGCUGUUAUGACAGUGAUCUCAGUAAAAGCCUGCAAUGCAGAUCAAGGUGCGGGACGAGUCACCAUAUAGCUAUCUAGGUACGGGAUGAGUCACCAUGAUUGCAUGAUCAGCUGCUAGCCUUGGGGGCGCUACAAUUACCAUGAUUUCAAAUUAGUGGAGUGUGUGAAUGGUAAGAUAUGUAAGUACAAUUCUCGUAGUUCAUUUUCGUAUUGAGUAGUCAUUGUAAAUAAAUGUCUUUUAUCUUGUCUUGUUUGGUAAAAACAUAUGUC